GGGCAUGCUGCAGCUGAAGAAGACUUCGGUGUGAGGCAAGGUCCAAAAUGGAACAAGUGUGUCCACGUUUACUUACUAUGUGCCUCUUCCACUAGCAUGCCACAUUCUGAAAACCAAGAUCAGAAACAUUAUUUUGCCAACAGGAAAGUAUCAUUUAUGCUGCUUAUUAUUCAUGGCUUGAAUAGUUUGUUAAUAUUACUACUUCUUCCUUGCAACUCCAUUUGUACUUCAGAUAAAGACAACUAUUUUUGCCUCACCUGGAUAUCUGCAUAGAAGUGGAAAAAUGGAUAAUAACAUGGAGGCUGAGAUUUGAAGAAAGCUUACUACUGGUUUAGCUCAGUUCAUCUUAUCUGUUUAAAAGACAUCUGUUGGGAUGGCUGGUCUGGUCU
Molecule: long non-coding RNA, 389 nt
Organism: Pezoporus flaviventris
Lineage: Eukaryota; Metazoa; Chordata; Aves; Psittaciformes; Psittacidae
Exons: 3
Source: RefSeq, a predicted model, not a curated record